UACGUAGGGUGCAAGCGUUGUCCGGAAUUAUUGGGCGUAAAGAGCUCGUAGGCGGUCUGUCGCGUCGGAUGUGAAAACCCAAGGCUCAACCUUGGGCCUGCAUUCGAUACGGGCAGACUAGAGUUCGGUAGGGGAGAUUGGAAUUCCUGGUGUAGCGGUGAAAUGCGCAGAUAUCAGGAGGAACACCGGUGGCGAAGGCGGGUCUCUGGGCCGAUACUGACGCUGAGGAGCGAAAGCGUGGGGAGCGAACAGG
RNAcentral lists this ribosomal RNA (253 nucleotides) under uncultured bacterium. Its description in RNAcentral is "partial 16S ribosomal RNA". It matches the Rfam family "Bacterial small subunit ribosomal RNA", at positions 524 to 776 of the family's 1533-position model. The record is from RNAcentral.